UCAGUCUGCUCCCAGCCUUCGGUCGUGACUGGUGUAGGCUGACGUGCCUCGAUCUCCUUAAGUGACCGUGUGAUUAGACUUGGAAUUUGGUGGAGUAUUUGGUGAACAGGUUUAUGAGGUGAAAAAAAACGUGGAAUAUUUCCCACCAGGUCCAGUACAAGGCUGACUGGAAAAGCACGUAAACUGUUGUGUGGAUAUACACGAAAAUAGAAAAAAAAUUACAUAUGCAGAAAAAAAACUGUAAAUAAUAAAACAGGAUAACGAAAAACGAUAAAUCUAAAUAAAUUAAGAAUUGACAUAUAUAAUUAAUUAAUGAGAAAGCAGAAACCUAGAUUAAAAAAGAUGAAAGGAAAGAAACCCAACAACUAGUGAACACAUGUCAAAUGAAACAAUGGAAGAUGAACACAAGGAGAAACAGCAAAACAAGAAUAAAAUGGAAGUAAAAAUUAUACCUAAAUAGACAUUCAUGAAAUAUAAGAAGAGGUACAGUAAAAUAUAUUGAGGGGAAAUAUUGCUUAUUAAUACAUGUAUAGUGUCAUGAAGUGUGUUGAUUAGUGAACAGUAGUGUGAUGAACAGUGCCAUGAGGAUCAACGCUGCAUAGAGUGUAGAUAAGUAGAUAAAGGAGAACGUAAGUCAUGUCUCUUCUGACUUCUCUCAACUCCAGUGCAUUCUUUCUCCUCAUCCAACUCACACUUAAUGUGGUGGUGGUGGUGGAGGGGGACGAGCAGGAGUACCGCCUCACUCGGUACCUAAUGGCGAACUACGACUCCUCAGUCCGGCCGGCAGCCAACUCCUCCGAGGCCCUCUCCAUCGUCUUCGGAGUCUCCUUACACAGUAUUAUCGACGUGGACGAGAAGAACCAGAUACUGACUACUAACUGCUGGUUGACGCAUGUGUGGGCCGACGCCCAUCUCACUUGGAAUGCUUCUGAUUUCGGUGGGAUUCAAGUCAUCAGAGUGCCUUAUCAGCGGGUGUGGAAGCCAGAUAUUAUCCUCUAUAACAAUGCGGACGCCCAGUAUUCAGCGGCCACCAUCAACACGAACGUCAUAGUCACAGCGGCCGGUCAGGUAACGUGGCUAUCUCACGGCAUUUAUCGUUCAUCAUGCGACAUGAACGUCGAAUACUUCCCGUUCGACAUCCAGUCGUGCAAGAUGAUGUGGGCCUCGUGGACCUACGACGGGUAUCAGCUGGACUUGGUCAAGCAGAUGGAAUCUGGGGACAUGUCUAACUAUCAGUCCAACGGAGAGUUUGACCUGCUGGAGUUCACCGCCUCAAAGAAUAUUACCUACUAUUCUUGCUGCCCUGAACCUUACCCAGACAUUACCUUUACCAUCAAGCUCCGCCGGCGUCCCAUGUUCUAUGUCUUCAAUCUCAUCCUACCCUGCGUCCUUAUCAACGGGAUAGCUCUAUUGGUGUUCUAUGUGCCUAGUGAAUCAGGAGAGAAGGUGACUCUAGGCAUCUCUGCUCUACUCUCUAUGACAGUCUUCCUAAUGACCAUUCGCGAGUCUCUACCUCCUACGGAGAAGACGCCUCUUAUCAGUAUGUACUACGGGGUGACCAUAUGCCUGGUGAGUCUGGCAUCAGGUCUGGCAGUAGUGACACUCAACAUUCAUCACCGAGGAGUGAGAGGCACCGAAGUGCCUCGACUCGUCAAGAGGCUCGUCCUUGGAGGUCUCUCCCGGUUCCUGUUCCUCCACUUUCACCCGGCGGGGAUUGAGGACAAGAAGAUACACCUUAAUGACCUGAGACCAGAAAUGGGAGUGAGACUGGACUCCAUUAGUGCCCAAAAGUUCCACAGGUCUGACCUGGACAGCGUCGACCUGUACAACACCUCGCCAAGGUUCGUGCCCCGUCGACACAACGCCUCCAACUACGAUUCCAUGCCCUUGCCUACGACAACAGCCAUGCACCCAUCAGAUUUUGAACACCAGUUCAUUCGGGUGUUGAACAAAGUGUACCAGACGAUUGAGAAGAACGAGAUGAGACUCGCUGAACAAGACAGAAAGGAGACAACUCGCGUCGAAUGGCAACAGGUGGCUCUGGUAUUCGAUCGGCUGCUGCUCUUCUGCUUCCUGCUGUCGACAGUAGUGGCCACCACCACCAUACUCUUCUCCUCUCCUCACGGGCCCUGAUGACCCAACCUGCUCCACCACCGAGACUCUCCUCAACGUUGAAAAUACAAAGGAUGGUACCAGUAUGGCUUCUCACCACUAAGCUGUAGACCACUACGACAGGUGCUUCCACACUACCAACAGACAGGUGCUAAGCUUCCUCACUACCAACAGACAGGUGCUAAGCUUCCACACUACCAACAGACAGGUGCUAAGCUUCCUCACUACCAACAGACAGGUGCUAAGCUUCCUCACUACCAACAGACAGGUGCUAAGCUUCCUCACUACCAACAGACAGGUGCUAAGCUUCCUCACUACCAACAGACAGGUGCUAAGCUUCCUCACUACCAACAGACAGGUGCUAAGCUUCCUCACUACCAACAGACAGGUGCUAAGCUUCCUCACUACCAACAGACAGGUGCUAAGCUUCCUCACUACCAACAGACAGGUGUUAAGCUUCCACACUACCAACAGAACCACAACUAACACCACUAUAACAACAACUACAAGCAUCACCACAAUCAUAACCACUUAGAUCGCCACCUCCAAUUCAACCACAACCACCACAACCCCAGCAACCAUUAGCACACAUGCAACACCAACCAAUACUAACUACCACUUCCCCUUCACAACCAACUAACAACCCUCUAUCAUCAUAACAACGGAAUAACCAUUAACAAACCAGAAAUUAAUAACGUGAAAGCAUCAGGUUAUUUAGUAUACUAACAACAUACUUAUGAUUCUUGAAGAUAACAAGCAGUUUGAUCAUUAACAAUGCAAUAGCAUCAAUUAACAGUGCACUAACGUUAAUUAACAGCCCAUUAACAUUAACUGGGCACUAGCAUCAAUUUACAGUGCCCUAACAUUAACUGGGCACUAGCAUCAGUUAACAGUGCAGUAACGUUAAUUAACAGCCCACUAACAUUAACUGGGCACUAGCAUCAGUUAACAGUGCACUAACAAACAGGUAACAGUGCACUAAAAUUAUCAACAGUGCAAUAACGACAAUUAAGCAUCUAUUAACAAUGUAUAUUCCACUAACAUCCCCCAAAAGACUCACUAACUCUCCACAAUCUAACAAUCUCUAACAAUCUAACAGUCAUAUAUAUUGAGUAUACAAACAAUAUAUAUAUAUAUAUAAAUGUAUAUUUUGUAAUAAAUUGUACAUAUGAA
Non-coding RNA from Procambarus clarkii (red swamp crayfish), 3285 nucleotides. The record is from RefSeq and is a predicted model, not a curated record. NCBI's taxonomy places the organism in Eukaryota, Metazoa, Arthropoda, Malacostraca, Decapoda, Cambaridae.